GGAAUACCGGAUGGGGAAAGGCAGCCUUUCUGGCAUCAUAUUGACACUGAGGCUUGAAAGCGUGGGUAGCAAACAGGAUUAGAUACCCUGGUAGUCCACGCCGUAAACGAUGUUUAUUAGUCGUUGGGUCCCUUGAGGACUUAGUGACGCAGCUAACGCAAUAAGUAGACCGCCUGGGGAGUACGGCCGCAAGGUUAAAACUCAAAUGAAUUGACGGGGGCCCGCACAAGCGGUGGAGCAUGUGGUUUAAUUCGAUGCAACGCGAAGAACCUUACCUGGUCUUGACAUAUCUAGAAUCCUGCAGAGAUGCGGGAGUGCCUUCGGGAAUUAGAAUACAGGUGCUGCAUGGCUGUCGUCAGCUCGUGUCGUGAGAUGUUGGGUUAAGUCCCGCAACGAGCGCAACCCUUGUCCUUAGUUACCAGCGGGUUAAGCCGGGAACUCUAAGGAUACUGCCAGUGACAAACUGGAGGAAGGCGGGGACGACGUCAAGUCAUCAUGGCCCUUACGACCAGGGCUACACACGUGCUACAAUGGUAGGUACAGAGGGCAGCUACACAGCGAUGUGAUGCGAAUCUCAAAAAGCCUAUCGUAGUCCAGAUUGGAGUCUGCAACUCGACUCCAUGAAGUAGGAAUCGCUAGUAAUCGCGGAUCAGAAUGCCGCGGUGAAUACGUUCCCGGGCCUUGUACACACCGCCCGUCACACCAUGGGAGUUGAUUGCACCAGAAGUGGUUAGCCUAACCGUAAGGAAGGCGAUCACCACGGUGUG
This 767-nucleotide ribosomal RNA is filed under the name Psychrobacter sp. RNAcentral's name for it is "bacterial SSU rRNA". It matches the Rfam family "Bacterial small subunit ribosomal RNA", at positions 703 to 1466 of the family's 1533-position model. Lineage: Bacteria; Pseudomonadati; Pseudomonadota; Gammaproteobacteria; Moraxellales; Moraxellaceae. The record is from RNAcentral.